CCAAACCAUAAACAAUUAUUAAAAUAUAAAUAUUUGUAGUCCUCAUCUAUGUGAGUAAAAAAAAAAAAACCUCUCCGGUGAUAUUGUAAUGGAUUUAUCCAUGUGGGAUAUCCAGUGUGUCAUUUUAUGAAAUUUCUUUGGUUAUUAUAAAAAAUAUACUUAGGACUUGUGUGUAAAACAAAAUAUAUUAUGCGCUUCUUCUUUAAAA
Cinara cedri is the source of this 208-nucleotide non-coding RNA. Lineage: Eukaryota; Metazoa; Arthropoda; Insecta; Hemiptera; Aphididae. The record is from the annotation of a GenBank genome assembly.